RNAcentral lists this ribosomal RNA (505 nucleotides) under uncultured bacterium. RNAcentral's name for it is "partial 16S ribosomal RNA". It matches the Rfam family "Bacterial small subunit ribosomal RNA", at positions 28 to 507 of the family's 1533-position model. The record is from RNAcentral.
GACGAACGCUGGCGGCGUGCCUAAUACAUGCAAGUAGAACGCACAGUUUAUACCGUAGCUUGCUACACCAUAAACUGUGAGUUGCGAACGGGUGAGUAACGCGUAGGUAACCUGCCUGGUAGCGGGGGAUAACUAUUGGAAACGAUAGCUAAUACCGCAUAAUAUUGAUUAUUGCAUGAUAAUUGAUUGAAAGAUGCUAUUGCAUCACUACCAGAUGGACCUGCGUUGUAUUAGCUAGUAGGUGAGGUAACGGCGCACCUAGGCGACGAUACAUAGCCGACCUGAGAGGGUGCUCGGCCCCACUGGGACUGAGACACGGCCCAGACUCCUACGGGAGGCAGCAGUAGGGAAUCUUCGGCAAUGGACGAAAGUCUGACCGAGCAACGCCGCGUGAGUGAAGAAGGUUUUCGGAUCGUAAAGCUCUGUUGUAAGAGAAGAACGGGUGUGAGAGUGGAAAGUUCACACUGUGACGGUAUCUUACCAGAAAGGGACGGCUAACUACGUG